GGUUCUUUAAUUCCUCCUCACUUUCUGCCAUCAAGGUUGUGUCAUCUGCAUAUCUGAAGUUGUUGAUAUUUCUUCUGGCAAUCUUAAUUCCGGCUAGGGAUUCAUCCAGCCCAGCCUUUCGCAUGAUGAAUUCUGCAUAUAAGUUAACAGCUCUCAGCCAGCUGCUGACCUCCCCGUCCCUAAGGGAGAAGAAACUCGCCCACCUACUUUUCCGACGGCAUCUUUCACCCCUCAGGGUGCAUAUAUAGACACCCCACUUUCCUUUUCAAGAAAGCAUGCUGAUUUACUAGGACAACACCGCCCCCCUCCCCAUCUCUUAACCAUAGAGCUAGCAAUACCUCCCUCUUCCUAGCGAUCACCAGGAAAUACAGCAGCGGAGAGGAGGUGGAAUAGGGGAUUAAAUCUAACUGGGACCUUCCUGUUCCCAGCAGCCCCCUGAGCUGAGCUGAGAGUUGAGCUGGAGUGCAAUCGCUGCCGUGGCUCAGCCUCCUUUCUCUUGCCUCAGGUGGGGGUGGUGUCUGGAAAAUAAAAAUAAAUCAGAACGGGUUACCUUGCUUCCUUCAUCUUCCCAGGGCAACAGUAAGAUUCUGGCUUGAAGGAGGAAAAAGCUCUUUGAGAUGGACUGUGAAGACCCAGGUCGUGUGGAGAUCCACAACUCAGAAGAUGGCGGGAUUGUACGGAGAGUCUACGUAGCUGACAAAGGUGAAGAUGAUCUGGAGCACGAGACUAUGCAAUCCAGCAUUCAGCAUGGACAGUCCAACUGGAAGGCAAAUUCCCAGCAGGAAGGAUCAGCAGUGGAUCGACAGGGGAGCCCGCUAGCCCCUGACAGCUAUGGCGAGGGGGCGGUUGCCGCCGCAGUGGUCUCGCGCUCCACCAAGCAGCGCCCCUUCAUCUGCAACGAGUGCGGCAAGAGUUUCAGCCACUGGUCGAAGCUGCUGCGGCACCAGCGCACGCACACUGGCGAGCGGCCCAGCACCUGCACCGACUGCGGCAAGAGCUUCUCGCAGAACUCGCACCUGGUGCAGCACCGGCGUACACACACCGGCGAAAAGCCGUACGUCUGCCGGGACUGCGGCAAGAGCUUCAGCUGGAGCUCCAAUCUCAUCCAGCACCAGCGCAUACACACGGGAGAGCGCCCUUACACGUGCGGGGACUGCGGGCGCAGCUUCACUCAAAGCAAGAACCUGGCCAAGCACCGGAGGACGCACACGGGUGCCCGGCCGUUCCGCUGCCCCGAGUGCGGGCGGGGCUUUGCGCACACGGCCGGCCUGGUCAAACACCAGCGCCUGCGCCACGACACGGACUCUCCCAUCGGGCACCCUUGCCCGGAAUGCGGGCAGCGCUUCCGGGCACCUUCUGAGGUGGAGCGCCACCGCGUGGCUCACCAUGGCGUCGCCCCCUCGGAGCCCUUCAUUUGCGUGGAGUGCGGAGAGUGUUUCACCAAGAGAACCACGCUCAUCCGCCACAAGAGAGUGCACAAGCCCAUCUUUGUGCGUUGAGGUUUUUCGUUCCCCCCUGCGGGAGAGGAAUUCCAAACGUCGAUGCCCAGGCUUGCGGCCUGAAGACUACAGGUUGGGGUCCGAGGUGACUCUGGACUGCAACCUGGGUGUCGCUUGACCAGGUCAAAGGCCCUGAUGGGGCCAACGUGCAAAAUCCACUGGGUGGUGACGAGGAGGAGGAGGGAAGAAGAGAAGACAGGGCUCAGAGUUUGGACUUCAGGCCCGUGUCGGGAGAGAGACUGGUUGCAGCCCAGAUCUCGAACUGCCUGUGGGGCAGAAUGAAAGCGGAGCACAACUAACUCACCUGCUGAGAAUCUACAGGCCCUGGACCCUCCUCCUGUACAUACAAUAAGUUUGCGAUCGAACAAGGGCAGUUCGAGAGACCAAGCUGCAAAAGAAGAAGCAAAGAAGAGUAAAGAACUUCACCCCAGCCACAGCCGCUCGGAUCAAAAUGGAGCCUCACCAAUUCCAGGGCUUUGCCUGCCCUCAGGCCCCACCUUGCUUCAUUGCGUGCUUCUCCUGGAGUGCCGGCUGGAUUUUCUCCAUCUGUUUCGUCAGGAAAUCAAUCUUCCUCUUGAAGAAAUCUCUGGCGUCGUCCACUGACUGCAACAUCAAAUGCACUUGGUGGAUAUCGUCAAAAUAGCUUUCUAGACAAAGGAUGCUGAGCCAGACCCUUAAACCGCUAAGGAGGCAUAUUCAAAACAAUUUUGAAUUCUCCAAUCUGGUGCCCUUCCAAAUGCUGUGGACUACAACUCCCAUCCGCCCCAGUCAGCAAAGGAUGAUGGGAGCUGUAGUCCAACAACAUACGGGAGACCUGACUUAAACCCUUAACCAGUCUGGCGUGCUCUGAAUCUUUCAUACUCACACCUGCCAUAGAGUCUAUCUCUUUGGAUAUACGAAACCCCUGCUAAGAAAUUUUACUAGUCUUACGGGAACUGUUUGGCCUUCUCUUUCAAAUUUGUCAGACAUAAUGCCCAAAGAGGAACAUUUGUUCCUUUUCAGGUUAGGCCUAUUCCAGUAACAAGUCUAUUCAAGGGCCAUUUCAUAUUUGAUGCCGGAUGGUGUGGUCGCUAUAAAAAACAUGGAUCUAUCUUAAAAUGUUGAAAGGGCCCAUGGCAUCAGCUCCCCAGCAACACAGAGUGAAUCCAUACUAUUGGACCAAUCCACACUGAAAUCCAUUUACCAAUCUUAUAGAGACAGCCAGGAACAACAAUGGGCAGAAUUGAGCAUCUGCUGGGACCAAAAACUGUUGAGAAGCCCAUUUUUGGUCCCCAACUCCAUUCUUCUUACUAAUUCUUCUUACUAUUCUCCGUUUUUCUUACUAAUUCCCAUGGAGGGAAUGUGCUCUUCCAGGCACACUAGCAGCACAAAUCUAUAGGCACAAAAAUUACAUAAGAAAUGAAAGCCUCCUCCUUAACAGAAUUCUAUUUUAAUGAACUGAAUAGAGCCAAAGUUUUAUGAGUCAUUGGAGGUAAGAGAGUGUGUUUCUGUAUGAACUGAAUAAUGCUUAGCUUAUUUUUUUAGGUGUUAUUUUGUUAAUAUUGUUAUAUAGGUUAUAAAUGCCUUACUGAUUUGUUAAUCAUAUAAUAUGACAUAUGCUGUUACUGUGAUUCUUAGCUUAUUUUCUAGUUGGUUUGUUAAUAUUGUAAUUGUUUUGUUAAUGAUACUAUAUGAUUUAUGCUGUAUUUGUGAAGUUCAAUUAUGUCAUUUUUAUUUAUUGUUUGUAAGCCACUUUUGGGGUUCAUUUGAAUGGAAAAGCAGCAGAGAAAUGCAAUCCAUCAAAUCAAAACAAUCAUAUUUGUCAAGAAA
This is an RNA transcript of Podarcis raffonei (Aeolian wall lizard), 3308 nucleotides long. It is a transcript of the gene named zinc finger protein 436-like, with no coding region annotated. The transcript has 5 exons. The record is from RefSeq and is a predicted model, not a curated record. NCBI's taxonomy places the organism in Eukaryota, Metazoa, Chordata, Lepidosauria, Squamata, Lacertidae.